UACGGAGGGGGCUAGCGUUGUUCGGAAUUACUGGGCGUAAAGCGCACGUAGGCGGCUUUGUAAGUUAGAGGUGAAAGCCCGGGGCUCAACCCCGGAACUGCCUUUGAAACUAGAUGGCUUGAAUCUUGGAGAGGCGAGUGGAAUUCCGAGUGUAGAGGUGAAAUUCGUAGAUAUUCGGAAGAACACCAGUGGCGAAGGCGACUCGCUGGACAAGUAUUGACGCUGAGGUGCGAAAGCGUGGGGAGCAAACAGG
RNAcentral lists this ribosomal RNA (253 nucleotides) under uncultured bacterium. Its description in RNAcentral is "partial 16S ribosomal RNA". It matches the Rfam family "Bacterial small subunit ribosomal RNA", at positions 524 to 776 of the family's 1533-position model. The record is from RNAcentral.